ACUCAAGUCAAACGUUAUCUUUGAAAUGGGGGACAUCGAAGCUCCCGGUACGACUGGACCGCGCCAAAGUGUCCUUCAAACGAUUCUCCCAAUCGCAAAAGUAUUCGCAUCUUCACGGAAAGGACAACUUCUUAUUGCAGAAGUGGCUCUGUCCCUCAUCGCGUUCAUCUGUUUUGUGGCAUCCACGGCAGCAGCCUUUGUCACAGCACCCCUCAUUGAGUUCCUGGCUGCCCUCUUCCUCCUUUUUGCCUAUUCCACCAAAUUCAAUGAGCGAUUUAAGGGAUUCCACUUCCCCCUCAUGCCUCAAUUCGUUGGGGCAUGGACUCUACAAGGUGUCGAAACCAUUCCACAGGGGUUGCUGGCCCAUGUUGACUCUGACGUUCCCACGGUUGUGACCAUGUUGGCUGGAUGUCCUUUGGGUGGUGGACCAUUCUUGACACAAGCAGGAAACUGUUGAGCGUGAAAAAAAAACAUUUCUACCACCUACCACAAUUCAAAGGCACUUCAAUCUUGUCUUACCCAUUCACCUUCUGAAUGACACAUAUACGCAAUCCAUGUCUCAAUUGUUUGGAUUCAAACUAGGGACUGUAGUGACCCCUCUUACACUGAGAUGCAGUGCCUUAGACCGCUGCGCCACUCGGGAGCCAGAGUGGACUGAUUGAAGGGAUUGAAGUGGAUUUAAUGAGUGACAUCAAUAAGGGCUCAUAGUUUUCACCUGGUCAGUCUAUCUGAUGGAAAGAGCAGGUGUUCAUAAUGUUUUGUACACUCAGUAUAUUUAUAGUCCACUUGGGUACAGUAGGGAUGAUAGCCAAUUUUAAAACAAAUGUGAAAACUACAUUUUAAUUUGUACUAUCUCUCUUUUAGGAUUUUCUGCGCUGUGUCAGUGCGUCCAUUAUCUUUUUUAUCAUCUCCAUAAUAUCAGUUUCCAAGUUCACAGACGGGGCCUCUAAAGCAGCAGGGGUGUUUGGGUUCAUUGCCACCAUUGUUUUUGCUCUAGAUUUUUACUUCAUCUUUAAUGACUUGGCUAAUUUCCUCAAACAAGGAGGGGACUCAGGUGACGAGCCACCAAGAACCUCAGAGUACAAUGACUCCGACUCUGACUCGGACUGAAGAGGUUCUAGCCCAGGGACCAUGUGUCCACCAUGCCUGGCAGGAAGACAUCCAUUCUGCAGACGUCAACGGCAUCCCGAAGGAUUCACAUUUCAUUUUAAACCGACGUGAAAACAGGUCUUUAGCGCUUUGGAAUGUUGGCACAUACAAAUGAUCAAUUACAGUUACAUUAUUAUUUUCCAAAUGCUCUAAAAUUGCCCAAACCCUGAAAUACAUUUCUGAAGCUGUGAAUGAACUGUGGUAUUUUUAGUGAUGGCUAUUGGUUUACAGUUGCUCAGCCUCCAUAAUACCAAGAGGAGCAUGGGGAACAGAUGACACUACAUUUUUACACAAUUGAAAAGAUUGGCAGCUGGUUGGCUGGUUACACCGUCUGUCCGAUCAUCAUACUUGCUUUGCUUGAUUUUUCUUUUUCUGGUGUCCUUUAUUGAAAAUGUUGCUGUAUCUGAUGUGAUAUCCUAGCGUUAAAAUCAUUUUGUGAUAGAUCUAUUCACUGAGCUGAGAAGACUGACUGUGCACGGCACUUAGCUACUUCCUAAAUGGCAACUUCCUGUUUGAAUUUGAUUUGUCAGCAGAAUAUUGUCUUCUCUUUUCUUCCAAUUCCGAAAGCUUUUAAUCACGGAGAAGCACUGGGAGACUUUUGUGAUUGUGUUUGAAAUGUAAACUGCAAAUGGGGUAUUACUGCAUUCAAUUAUUGAAAAUGGUACCUCAAAAUGUUCUCCUAUUCAGAAGGGUUUUCUUACCAGGUUGUACAUCAAACAUUUGUCAAUUUGCAGGUCAUGUAAAGAAAAUAAGAAAGAAAUCAGUUGAUUUUCAGCUAUUUGUAAGCUUUAAUUUGUUUAAUAAAAAAAUGAAGACAUGUUCAACAGUAUUUCCAAACCCAUUUAUUUUGAGACAAGUUUGUCACCACAAACUAUAGUUUUGUUAAAUCUACAGAAAAUUCUUUACAUACAACAAUACAGACUUUAAUACUGCUUCCUAGAGUACAAUAAAUACUUGUAUCAGUGACAGAGCAUUUAAGAAAAUCAAGGUCAAACCUUAAAAAAGAUAAAGAGCAGUUAAGUCUUCACUUUAUGAUAAGCCAUUUCAGAUGUUGAGUGGUUCAAAACCUUGACACAAGCAAUAACCUCUGCACGAAGCACUGUCGGUAAAGUUGUUUUAAGGACGUUACUGUAAGAUAAAUACACCCAUCUCAAAAUAUUAGGUUAUAUUUACAGAGUGCUCUGGAUUGUUAAGGACAUCACGAAGCAUUAACUUGUAUUGUUCCACUAUAGUCACGUCAUUUCACUACUAGUUAAAGCAAGGAUUACAUAUGCACUCACAUGGCCUAUUACUGUAUGUUAGAGCAUAAUGUAUUGCUAGAUAAAGGAGAUGGAUCCACUACUGUGAAGUCAAGGCAUAAUAUACGACUUAAAACAAUCAACCGAGUCCUGAAUAGAGAGACAUAAAUACACACAUUUGAUUGUCUAUUCUUCACACAGUUUCAAUCAUAAUCAACAGUGAUUACGGUCAAUUCAUUCAAAUUAAAUCUGCAAUUUGAGAUGUGCAAUGUCCCUGCCCUCACCUACAAAGUCAUUAAUGGAGUUAGGCCUUAAGUUUGUUCCCACUGUCCUCACAAAGAAUAUUGGUUCAUCAACUCUGAACACAAAAUAUGAUCACUUUGACAAAGAUGGCAUCUUUUAAAACAUUUGUAAGAUGUCCCACAACUAGGAGUGGGUGCACUUCAGUACACAUAAAGCAUCCACCAUGAGCAGUUCCUCUGAGGGUAUCUUUACCAUAAUCCACAUAUACAUACAGUAUCACCAGCAGGGUCAGUGGGAUACAGAACACCCGGAAUCACAAUGUUGUGUAGAUGUAAACACACAAUACUAUUUAGAACAAAAAAUACAAAGACCAGAACGAACACGUCAACAUUUCUAAAAGUCCUUCAUCCGAGACACAUUCAGUACAAACUUGCACAUAUGAACAGGCUACAUCUCCAUAAAUGUGAAUUCAAUGUUCCUUGCUCUAUUUGUCUGUACCAAACAAAAAAAAAUCCAGGAAGUUAAAUUGACUGCGAGGGUGUUUUAUGAAAUAAGAUAUGUGAUUAUGUAUGCUAUAUAAGAUAAAUAAGAUCACACAUUCAACUGAGAUACAUUGGUGCGCCAUUCUGUGAAUGAGUAUGCCGUGGACCCAAUUAUUAAGGCGGCCACAUUUAAGUUUCAAACAGACAAUAGAUCAUAAAUGAUGAGUCAGCCAAUACCUGAGAUGUGCUAUGGACGCUGACCUCGACCAGCACCCGUUUAUCAGUAUUUCGCUCAAUUAUCAAACGUACCACCAUGUUAGUAAUGUACCACUGUGCAAUUUGUCUGUCACUCACUAGGCCAGAUAUACUAUAGGUACAACGCUUAUACACAUCACAUUCAUACUCUUUAACCGUUUACAAAUAGCACCCACACCAACUACAUUGCCUUCAAAAAGUAUUCACACCUCUUUACCUUUUCCACAUUUAGUUGUGUUACAGCCUGAAUUUCAAUAAAUUAGCACCAAAAAAAAUGUAAAAACAUGUUUUCACUUUGUCAUUACGGGUUAUUGUGUGUAGAUGGGUGAGACAAAAUCUAUUUCAUCCAUUUUGAAUUCAGACUGUAACACAACAAAAUGUGGAAUAAGUCAAAGGGUGUGAAUAUUUUCUGAAGAAACUGUCAAUCAAAAGUCCUUCAAUAAAACAAAAUAGUAAAAAACAAAUACCUUCAAUCUUCCUUCAAACGUCCAUGUGGUUCGGUUGUUGUGUAUUAGUGAGAUACACUGAGGAGGGUUACUUUACAUAUUCUACAGAGAGAGAGACAACUGAACUGUAAUGGCAUUGUGGAACUGAACUGUGUUGGGAAUGUGUUUCAGGAGUAUCGGAGUUCAUAAAAACUUAAUAAGCGGUUGAUCCGCCGUAACGAAUAGGCCUAAGCUUUUGGUCCUUU
Oncorhynchus kisutch (coho salmon) is the source of this 4058-nucleotide RNA transcript. It is a transcript of the gene named CKLF-like MARVEL transmembrane domain-containing protein 3, with no coding region annotated. The transcript has 5 exons. The record is from RefSeq and is a predicted model, not a curated record. Lineage: Eukaryota; Metazoa; Chordata; Actinopteri; Salmoniformes; Salmonidae.